CGGGCGGCGAGGCGGCGUGCUGGGGCGCGCCUAGGAGCGGUAGUCCUUCUUGCUGUAGGGUUUGUUGCCCAGGAUGCUGUCAAUCUCAUGGACAAUGGAAGACGACAGCUUGGGAAGGACCUGCACGGGAGCGCACUCAGAGCCGUGCGGGACGGCCCCGCAUCCCACUCUGUGCCCUCUGCUCAGCGUCGCCACGCAGCAGUUUUGACUCAUCUGCAGUGUGUGGCAGCACCGCGUGGCCGUACUGCUGCACGUCUCACCUGUAUGGCUCCGAUGUUCUCCAUCAGCUGAUCGGCAUUGGAGGCUCCCAGCAGCACGGAGCUGACGCCCUCGUUGCGCAGGCACCACGCUGGGGAUGCGUGCAGAGCUGAGCAGGGCCCGGCCGCUGCCCCCCACCAUCCCCUCCCGUACCCCCUUACCGAUGGCGAGCUGCGGCAGCGUGCAGCCCAGGCGCUCGGCGAUGGCUUGCAGCUCCUUCAGCUUGGCCUGCUGCCGCCGGCCCUCCUCACUCAGGAUCUUGUCCUUCAGCCACUGGUACCCCUGGGAUGGGAGAGCAGUGAGCAGGAGGCUCCAAGGAGCCCCGAGACCCCUGCUCUACGUAUCUCCCCACGGUGCUCACCUUCAGUGAUGCUCUUGAGUACGGAGGAAUGCCACCAUCAUACUUCCCUGAGACGAUGCCGCACGCCAGCGGGGACCAUGUCAUGGCACCGACACCUGGGGCGAGCAGAGCAGAGAGUGACCUGGCCACUUUGCACGCUGCCUUCAGCCUGGGGUUGGGCAGCACUUGGGUGCAAGGGCCAGCUUGGAGGACAGGGGGGGGCAGCAGGGAAACCAGCCUGGGGAGCCAGGAUGAGCAGCAUAUCCAGGCAUGGGGCACAGCAGCCAGGGAGCAGCUCAUGUGCUCCUGCACUGUUGGCUGCGGGACAGAGGGGGUCCUGGGGCCGGUACCUAUCUUGUGGAAGAGCUCAGGCAGCUGCACCUCCACCUUCUCCCGCUGGAACAUGUGGUACUCGGCCUGCUCGCAGAUCGGUGGGAUCAGGUUGAACUGCCGUGCCACUGAGUACGCCUCCUGCAACCCGGAUUGGCACCAUCAGCACACACCAACCCCGCUGCCAUGGGGCAGGGAUGUGGGCUCCGGGACCCCUCUACCACCCACACGUGGUCCCUACCAUGAUCUCCAUGGAGCUCCAGCGUGACGUGCCCCAGUACAUGGCCAUCCCCUGGUUGAUGACGUGGGUCAUGGCGCGCACCGUCUCUGCCGGAGGAAGGGAGAGCAGCAGGCGGGCAUUAGGGCACAGGGAUGGGGUUGGGCCGUGCACAUCUUGCAAGCAGUGUACAUCCAAAUGCCACACGGUGUGGAAAUUAAAAGGGAAUGGAAAUUGA
Molecule: long non-coding RNA, 1383 nt
Organism: Gallus gallus (chicken)
Lineage: Eukaryota; Metazoa; Chordata; Aves; Galliformes; Phasianidae
Exons: 2
Source: RefSeq, a predicted model, not a curated record